This 254-nucleotide ribosomal RNA is filed under the name uncultured bacterium. Its description in RNAcentral is "partial 16S ribosomal RNA". It matches the Rfam family "Bacterial small subunit ribosomal RNA", at positions 524 to 776 of the family's 1533-position model. The record is from RNAcentral.
UACGUAGGGUGCGAGCGUUGUCCGGAAUUAUUGGGCGUAAAGAGCUCGUAGGCGGUCUGUUGCGUCGGCUGUGAAAACCCGGGGCUCAACCCCGGGCCUGCAGCCGAUACGGGCAGACUAGAGUUCGGCAGGGGAGACUGGAAUUCCUGGUGUAGCGGUGAAAUGCGCAGAUAUCAGGAGGAACACCGGUGGCGAAGGCGGGUCUCUGGGCCGAUACUGACGCUGAGGAGCGAAAGCGUGGGGGAGCGAACAGG